This 416-nucleotide ribosomal RNA is filed under the name uncultured bacterium. RNAcentral describes it as "bacterial SSU rRNA". It matches the Rfam family "Bacterial small subunit ribosomal RNA", at positions 1001 to 1414 of the family's 1533-position model. The record is from RNAcentral.
CCGAAAGGCAGGAGUGCCUGCAAGGGAGCGCGGAGACAGGUGGUGCGUGGCUGUCGUCAGCUCGUGUCGUGAGAUGUUGGGUUAAGUCCCGCAACGAGCGCAACCCUCACCUCUUGUUGCCAUCAGGUCAUGCUGGGCACUCUAGAGGAACUGCCCCGGUCAACGGGGAGGAAGGCGGGGAUGACGUCAAGUCAUCAUGCCCCUUACGUCCUGGGCUACACACGUGCUACAAUGGCCGGUACAAAGGGAUGCCACACCGCGAGGUAGAGCUGAACCCAAAAAGCCGGUCUAAGUUCGGAUUGGAGUCUGCAACUCGACUCCAUGAAGGAGGAAUCGCUAGUAAUCGCGUAUCAGCACGACGCGGUGAAUACGUUCCCGGGCCUUGUACACACCGCCCGUCACACCACGAAAGCCAG